Molecule: ribosomal RNA, 450 nt
Filed under: uncultured bacterium
Lineage: Bacteria
Description: partial 16S ribosomal RNA
Rfam family: Bacterial small subunit ribosomal RNA
Source: RNAcentral
GUGGGGAAUUUUGGACAAUGGGCGCAAGCCUGAUCCAGCAAUGCCGCGUGCAGGAAGAAGGCCUUCGGGUUGUAAACUGCUUUUGUACGGAACGAAACGGUCCUGGUUAAUACCUGGGGCUAAUGACGGUACCGUAAGAAUAAGCACCGGCUAACUACGUGCCAGCAGCCGCGGUAAUACGUAGGGUGCGAGCGUUAAUCGGAAUUACUGGGCGUAAAGCGUGCGCAGGCGGUGCUGUAAGACAGGCGUGAAAUCCCCGGGCUCAACCUGGGAAUUGCGCUUGUGACUGUAGUGCUGGAGUACGGCAGAGGGGGAUGGAAUUCCGCGUGUAGCAGUGAAAUGCGUAGAUAUGCGGAGGAACACCGAUGGCGAAGGCAGUCCCCUGGGCCUGUACUGACGCUCAUGCACGAAAGCGUGGGGAGCAAACAGGAUUAGAAACCCUGGUAGUCC